This 1156-nucleotide long non-coding RNA is filed under the name Homo sapiens (human). RNAcentral describes it as "HSALNT0350084". The stretch from base 21 to 198 matches the Rfam family "Pvt1 oncogene conserved region 1". The record is from RNAcentral. Lineage: Eukaryota; Metazoa; Chordata; Mammalia; Primates; Hominidae.
GGGCAGAGCGCGUGUGGCGGCCGAGCACAUGGGCCCGCGGGCCGGGCGGGCUCGGGGCGGCCGGGACGAGGAGGGGCGACGACGAGCUGCGAGCAAAGAUGUGCCCCGGGACCCCCGGCACCUUCCAGUGGAUUUCCUUGCGGAAAGGAUGUUGGCGGUCCCUGUGACCUGUGGAGACACGGCCAGAUCUGCCCUCCAGACCAUAGCUGUCUGCAGUGCAGGAAGCCAACUAUUAAGGGGAAACAAAAGUGUUCUUAGGAGUCCUGCUGUCACUGUGGAUUGAGCCGGUGAAGCCCUGAGGGAUUUCAUCGCUGAGGUGGAUGGAGAAGCAGCUGGGGGCCUUGGCUGUAAGGACCCCUAAGGGCCUGAUCUUUUGGCCAGAAGGAGAUUAAAAAGAUGCCCCUCAAGAUGGCUGUGCCUGUCAGCUGCAUGGAGCUUCGUUCAAGUAUUUUCUGAGCCUGAUGGAUUUACAGUGAUCUUCAGUGGUCUGGGGAAUAACGCUGGUGGAACCAUGCACUGGAAUGACACACGCCCGGCACAUUUCAGGAUACUAAAAGUGGUUUUAAGGGAGGCUGUGGCUGAAUGCCUCAUGGAUUCUUACAGCUUGGAUGUCCAUGGGGGACGAAGGACUGCAGCUGGCUGAGAGGGUUGAGAUCUCUGUUUACUUAGAUCUCUGCCAACUUCCUUUGGGUCUCCCUAUGGAAUGUAAGACCCCGACUCUUCCUGGUGAAGCAUCUGAUGCACGUUCCAUCCGGCGCUCAGCUGGGCUUGAGAUUCCUGGGAACACCACCAUGGAGGGCCUGGCCUUUGGCGGUGGACAGUCUGUGGCUGGGUGGGAACGUCAGGAGUGGGGCCUGCCUCUUUGCUGGGAAUGCCGUGCACUCCCAGCCCACUUGCCCCAUGCCAGCACUCGAGGCAGGACUUCGCAGGUGAGCAGUAACGGAAAUCAGCCCCGUUUAUUCCUCCCAGCACCUGCCUUAUCCAACUCCCCACGCUGUGGCUGAGUCCCAGCCUGCUAUGGAAGCAUCACUGGACUCCCAUUGAACUCUGUGCAGAUUCGCUGUUCGUAGACAUGGUACCUGAUGGACACCAAGCUACGUACAGCUUCAAGGCCCCUUCUUUCUUUGCUAAUAAAAAAUAAAAAAUAAAAACAUAA